Molecule: long non-coding RNA, 4575 nt
Filed under: Sus scrofa (pig)
Lineage: Eukaryota; Metazoa; Chordata; Mammalia; Artiodactyla; Suidae
Description: lncRNA (ENSSSCG00025073978.1)
Source: RNAcentral
UUUUUUUUUUUUUUUUUUUUGCCACACCCAGGCAUGUGGAAGUUCCUGGGCCAGGGAUGGAACCCAUGCCACAGUGAUGACCCAAGCCACUGCAGUGACAAUGCCAGAUCCUUAACCUGCUGUGCCACAAGAGAACUCUGCUAGUCUCUAUCUUUAAGGCGCCUCUCUUGUGGCCCCUUGCCUUUGAGAAAUGCUUCAUCAGGAAUGUUAGGAAAACAGGAACACACAUUCUCACAUUGUGUUGGAGCAAGACCUCCCCCCACCACUGCAGCCUGCACACCAGUGCAGCUGCUUGGCCUCCCCUUCUGUUUUCCCCUACCGCCAACUACCAGCCUCCUUCCAAGUCAGCCUGGAGCUGUCAAUGCAGAAGGCAAACCACAGGAACAUCUCCCUGUCCCCAGAGCCAGGGACCUCUUAGGACUCUAUGAUCAAGAGGCCUGGCAGAAGAAGAAAGGCAGUGAAAUCCUCGCUCUAAACUGAAUGCCUGUUCAGAAAUGGUGGCUCCGGAGUUCCCAUUGUGGUGCAGCAGAAACGAAUCCAACUAGGAACCAUGAGGUUUCAGGUUCAAUCCCUGGCCUCACUCAAUGGGUUAAGGAUCUGGCGUUGCCGACCUGGCAUUGCUGUGGGUGUGGUGUAGGCCAGCAGCUGCAGCUCUGAUUGGACCCCUAGGCUGGGAACCUCCAUAUGCCUCAUGGGUGCAGCCUUAAAAAGCACACACACACACACACACACACACACACACACACACAAGAAAAGAAAGAAAGAAAGAAAAAAGAAAUGGUGGCUCCAGACUAACUCUCACAGAGGCCCAGGGUAGGUUAAGAUGUUGCUGAGGAAGAGGUGGCAGAGUCAGGGGUUUGGUCUGACCCUCUCAGCUCCACUGCUAUUGCCAAAGUCUCCAGAUGGCUCUUCGAGAACUCCACAAGCCCUAUGUCUACAAGUGAAAUUACCUCCUUCUCCAAAGACACCUCUCUGGUUCCCAUCCCUACAACAGCAUCUGCUGCCUCUGUCCUCCCCUUGGGCGCUAACCUACAUCUACUGGGCCACCAAAUGCCAUUCAGCCAGCCUUUCCAUCUUCCCACCUGUCAAAUCCGUCAACUUCUGUCAACGCCACAUCCAUCAUCAUCCUCGGGUUUAGGUUCCUGCUUGGCCCUGCUGUCCUCUAUACCACAUCCUGGAGGCCUUUUCCCAGGGCUAAGCUCCUCCCUUGCCCAAUAUCCUUGCCCUUGAGGUAGAAUUCAGACUCCUUUUCAGUCUUCAAAGCCCUCCCGUCUUUGCCCCUCAUCUCCCACCCUACCACUUGCUCACUUUUAUUCCUCCGUAUCUCUGACUAGGAUGCUCUUUUGUACCACUGGGACCUAUACGGAGAGGUGAGAGGCAAACUGGACUCUUGAGGGGUCCAAGGAUGGGAAUGAGCCCCACGUCACAGGAGGUGUGCACAGUGGCUGGAGAAGCCACUCUUAGGGAGGAGUUCCAGCAAAGGACAGGGGUCUUGGCUCAGGGGACUUAUAGGACCUUCUGACUCUGUGACUGAAUUGGCUUCUUAGGAAUCACGGCUGGCAACUGCCCUCUUUGUAGGUCCCUGUCAGUGGAGCCAGGGCCCGGAGCUUCAGGAAUAUUGAAUUUGAGUUCAUUCCUGAUGCCAGCAUCAGCCAUGUGCUCCAGACACUUCGGUCCUCAGAGAGAAGGUGGGGGGACACAGCUCCCUGUGGGGUGUCCUGUGCUUGUGGGAGCAGUGGGUGGCUCUUGCAACGUGGUUUAACUAAAAGAGAGCGGAUCUUAUAGGAGGAGGCCACAGUCCACGAAGUCUGUCCUCUUAGUGUAGAGGUGGGUAAUCUGAGGUGCAGAGGGAGGAAAGGACUUGUCUAAGAUCACAGAGUGAGCUGGAGACAGGCCCAGAGCCAGAGCCCAGGUCACCUGACUUCCCUCCAAGGCUGUUCCCUCAAAAGAACAGAGCCAUGGACCCCACUGCGUUAAAACCCCUUGGAGGCGCAACUAGACCUCUUAAGAAGGCAGAACUCCACAGCUUUAAUUAAUCUUGUCAAAUGGAAAUUAUUGAUAAUGCCUGUCUUCAAAAUCUCAUUUAAAAAAUACAUAUGUAUAUAAUCAUUAUCAUAUAUGCAUAUAAAUAAUAAUUAUUAUUUUUUUGCUCCUUAAAUGACCCAGCCUCCCAAAUUGCUAGGAUGAAUACAAACUCUGCUGUGGGUCACUUGCCUUACGGAAGACAGCCUGAGAAAAGGACCAUAAUGGCUCUAGGUUAUUUUUGUCAACAUAGCUUUGUUUCCACUGGGGCUCUACUCUCCUCCACUGUGUGUGAUUUGGCCGAAGCUGCCAGGCAGUCCUCUGUACAGGCCUAACCAACCACAGUAACUCUUCCCUCUGGCAGCAGUGAUUUGUCCAAGAGAUGGGCAUGUGAUCCAGAUCUCAUCUGGACCAAUCAGAGAGUUUCCCUGGGAUUUGUAUACUGACACAGAGAAACUCCCUCUUUGUGCAACAAUGUAAGCCUAGAACUUUUAACAGUUCUUUUCUUUACCUGCAUAGAGGAAGCCCAACUGCAAAGGGAGAUAAUGAGGCCAAUAUAUAGUUGGAAGCAAAUUCAGGAGAUGGAGAAAGAGAAUCCUGAUACCUUGGUUAAGUCCUGGAUUCAGCCAUGCCUGCAGUCAGUGCCAUCCCUGGAGGUACCCAGUCCCAUAGUUCAAUUAGUUCUCUUUAGUCUUUACUUUAGAUUGAAUUGAGAUUCUUUUCUUUUCACCUUAAAGGGUCCUAAAACAAAUACAAGGUCCUUUCUUUAUCUAUCACAGCUUAUUUCAUGUAAGAGUUAGCAUGCACGCAGCCCUCUGCUCUGAGCUAUUUUGGGUACAAUGCCCACACAUACAUUUUCUUGCCACUAGAGAAGAAAGUGCUGGCUGCAGGACCCUGUGUCCCUUACUUCCUGCCUCUCCUGCAUAUGCCCUAAAGACCAUGUGGUUUCUCCCUGUGGGCAGAGGAGAGCUGACCACUGAAACCCCUCUCUGAGCUCCAGGAGGCCAGAAGCUCUGAAAUCUUUUUAGGUUACAUAUGGAGCCAUCUCCAGGGGGGAAGAAGGAGCCCCUCUCACCCAAGUUUUCUGAUCACCUCAUUCUCCUAUUCCAAAACCUUCACUGACCCUCCGCUACCAGUGGGGGAAAUCCAAACUCCUUACCCUGGCAUACAAGUUUCUUCAAUGGUCUGCCCUAGAUUCUGCAUCCUCUACUCUUUUCUACCUCUGGGUCUUUGCUUGUACUCUUCUUCCUCCCUCCUCUAGGAUAUCCACCUGCGAGAGUCCCUCCUGCCCAUUUAGGUCUAGUCCAAGCACCAUCUCUUAUAGGAAGCCUUCCUCAUUUCCCUAGUAACAGUGAAAAUUGUUCUGGGACCUCCUCUAGUAUGUUAUCUGCCUCUCAUUUGGGGCCCAUCAUAUAGUCUUUCUCUCAUUAAAUUUAUUGUUUCUUCUGCUUGACUUGUUCCCCUUCCUAUACCAUGCUCAAACCAAAUAACCCAUAAUGGCUCUUAAUUCACCCUUUAGUUCUAAACUCAGAGCUUACUUUCUCAGAGAAAACUUCCUUGGCUGUGUCCUGCUGAUAAACUCUGUUCCGCCAGGUUUCUUCUGUGGUCACAGAACACUAAGAUCUUCUUCAACUGCUUUUUGUUUUUUGCCUUUUCUAGGGCCGCUCCCUUGGCAUAUGGAGGUUCCCAGGCUAGAUAAUGCUCCUGUAAAAAGGAUCUCCAAAUCUCAGUGCCUUAAAAGAACAAAAUUUUAUUUGUCUCAAGCCAUAUGUCCACUGUGGGUCAGCAGUGGAGGCUCUGUUCAUUUUAGACACUCAGAGAUAUAGGGAGAUGGAGUAGCUUUCACCUUAAGCAUCAUUGGUUAAUGCUAGAGGAAAAAGAGAGUUCUGGAGAGUCUUACAUCAAUAGUAGUUCAAUGCUCUGGUACAGAAGUGAUACAUAUCAUGUUAUCACUCACUCAUUGGCUGAAACCAUUCACAUGGACCCAUCUAACCAUAAGGUAAUUAGGAAGCACCUAAUUACCUGUACCCAGAAGGUGGGAGAACCAAAAGUACUUGGCAAAUAGCACGAAUAAAUACCACGCAAGUUAAAUUUCAUCCCAUGCCAACAAGAAAAAAAAAUAAAGCCAAUUCUUGAGUUUCUUCUUAGUUCUGGAAUAAUACAACUUUAUGGGUUGAAGGGAUUUUUGCAACUGAUUAUUCAUGCUUUUAUGAAGGAAAAAAAUACUGAAAUCAAAACAAAAAACCUUGAGACCUGUGCAAAGACUGAUUUUUACCAAUAUCAAGAGUUUGGGAUGCACUGAAGGGAAAAUUCUAGCUAGUGCAGUAAGAUAAGAAAAAUAAAUGGCAAACAGAUUGCAAAGGAAGAAUUAAAAUUGUAUCCAUUUAUAGAUGACAUACUGACAUAGGAGAUCCUAAAGAAUCUAUAAAGAAAAAAAAAACUCCUAGAAAUAAUAAAUAAAUUUAGGAUAUCACAAUAUACAUAAAAAUCAAUUGUACUUCUAUGCAUUAAGAGUGAACAACUAGAAAAUGAUAUCAAAAAUAAACAUAAUUU